ACGGGAGGCAGCAGUGGGGAAUAUUGGGCAAUGGGCGAAAGCCUGACCCAGCAACGCCGCGUGAAGGAAGAAGGCCUUCGGGUUGUAAACUUCUUUUAUCAGGGACGAAUAAAAUGACGGUACCUGAAGAAUAAGCUACGGCUAACUACGUGCCAGCAGCCGCGGUAAUACGUAGGUAGCGAGCGUUGUCCGGAUUUACUGGGUGUAAAGGGCGCGUAGGCGGGACGACAAGUCAGAUGUGAAAUCCAUGGGCUUAACCCAUGAACUGCAUUUGAAACUGCCGUUCUUGAGUGUCGGAGAGGUAGACGGAAUUCCUAGUGUAGCGGUGAAAUGCGUAGAUAUUAGGAGGAACACCAGUGGCGAAGGCGGUCUACUGGACGAUAACUGACGCUGAGGCGCGAAAGCGUGGGGAGCAAACAGGAUUAGAUACCCUGGUA
Molecule: ribosomal RNA, 437 nt
Filed under: uncultured Clostridium sp.
Lineage: Bacteria; Bacillati; Bacillota; Clostridia; Eubacteriales; Clostridiaceae
Also listed under: 1 other name
Description: partial 16S ribosomal RNA
Rfam family: Bacterial small subunit ribosomal RNA
Source: RNAcentral